GCCCCGUGAUGUAAUGUAUAUUUGCUACUCUUGAUGCAAAUCUGAUGACAAUUACACCAAUUGACUGAGGGC
This is a small nucleolar RNA of Octopus sinensis (East Asian common octopus), 72 nucleotides long. RefSeq annotates it as small nucleolar RNA SNORD24. The transcript has a single exon. The record is from RefSeq and is a predicted model, not a curated record. Lineage: Eukaryota; Metazoa; Mollusca; Cephalopoda; Octopoda; Octopodidae.